CUUGAUUCAUUAGGCAGGCAAGAAGUGUGCCUCUGGGAACCUCUUGAGCCCUUCAUGGGCUAGCACACCAACACCAUCCCCCCAGAUGCUUCAGUUGUUGGCUUCGAAUGGCUUACUAUUUCCAUUUCUACGGAGAACUGCCAUCUCAGGAAUCACCUCACCCUGGAGUUUAUUCCCCUCACCCACAGGGUGGCUGGCAGCCAACAGCUGACUCGUACAGAGAGUGGCACAAUGAAGAUUUGAACCCACGUAUGUCUCACUGGACGUAUGCCCAGGAACUGAUUGGGAAAGUGAGGCCCAGGGGUGCAAACCAGUCCAAUAUUAGCGGCAGAGCUCUUCCCUAGACCCGUCUUGAAGCUGCUGCCCCAUCAUUUCCUCCAGGUAGCUGGUGGAUACUGUUUAUCUGGUGCUCACUAUGCCCUAGGUAACACUAGCCCCUACUGUGUGCAAAGAAAUGAACUGAGCUCUCUGGCCUCACACCCUAAGCCCAACCCUGAUCCACUAAGCACUGGCAGCUUCAGGCCCACCACUGCUGGCCUCCCAUCUCUUUCUCCAAGCAACGGUGCCUGUGUGUUGAGCACUUCCAGACAAACACGCCUGCCAUGAUGGACCACAUUUCUGUGCAGAUGCUGAGUACACACCGUCUCCCACUCCCACGGCUGCUUUGCAAGGACAGUGUUAAUGAUCCUCACUUUGUAAACAAGGAAAACUGAAGCUCAGAAAGGAGGGAUGGAGGGCGGUAAGGUUGGGCAUCCUACACAUAUGGUGAUAUCAUUGAACAUUUUGUGUUGAAGAAUGAUGGAGUGUUGAACACAGAAUCAGAGAAUUUUACUUUAUUUUAUUUUUUGAGAAGGAGUCUCAAUCUGUCAACCAGGCUGGAGUGCAGUGGCGCGAUCUCGGCUCAGGGCAACUUCCACCUCCUGGGUUCAAGGGAUCCUCCUGCCUCAGCCUCCCGAGUCGCAGGGAUCACAGAUGUGCUGGAUGCUGGCUCUCUCCCCUGACCCCUGGACCUUUGCACUGGCUGUUCCCGCUACCUGGAACACAGUCUACAACACCACCUCCUUCUCUGGUUGAAGUCCUCUCUCUUCCUGUUUGCUCUGAGGACAGUUUCUGCUCACAUCCCUCCUGAAUAUCUGGGUUGGUGUUCCUUCAUUUACCACAGUCCCCACCCCAGCUGCUGUGCUUACCAUGUGACAGAGAUCACUACAUCAUGUGUGCCCGUGUGUUUGCCUGUGUCCCCAUCCACUCAUGAGCCACAGGAGGGCAGAUAUCGGGAUCAUCUUUUCUCUACUGAAUCCCUAGCACCCAGCACUGUGCCUGGCAGAGAAGAGUUGUUCAGCCAAGAUAUAUGUUGAUAAAUGAAUCAUAAGAUGUUAGAAUCACAAGCUUUUAGAGCCAUGGACUUGGUGAAACAGAAGCCUAAAGUCUCAGAAUUAUAUAAUCCUAGACUUAGCAUUAAUUAUACACAGAAACUGAGAAUCUCCGAAUCUUAGGAUCUCAAGGUUGAAAGAAUUCUUAUAUAGGCAUCUUGUCCAAGGACUAUCAGUGGAUUAGGAAAAUUUUAAUUGUGCCCUUCUAUAUUAUUUAAUGUAUAUUUUUACAUUUAUUUAUAUAAAAACUAUAAUACAUUUGUCUUUCAAACAUUUAUUUUAUUUU
Molecule: long non-coding RNA, 1656 nt
Filed under: Homo sapiens (human)
Lineage: Eukaryota; Metazoa; Chordata; Mammalia; Primates; Hominidae
Description: HSALNT0401214
Source: RNAcentral